UCGGCCUUCACUUUUUUGUUUACUUUCUUGUCACCAUCCUUCCCAUUAAAAAAGUGAAAAUCGCCCAAAUCAAGCCGAUCCUUCUCCUCGGCCGUGGGAAUCAAACUGUUUAUCCUCAGCUGAAAAAUAAUAAGUAUACUUUAGUAUAUCAUCUAACAAACAAUGUACAAUUACAUUGAAAUAAACAGUAAAUAAAGAAUCAUAAACAUAAUCAGUAACCAAAUACAUAUAUACAGGUAACCAAAUGUAUAAUAAGUAGUAACCAACUAAAUGUAUAAAUGUAACCAAAUGUGUAUUAUUCGGAUAACCAACAACAAUGUCAUUAGUAACCUGAAUGUAAUCUAAUCAGUAACCGUAUUUGAAUAUUCAAGUAACCAAAAAUAUUGUUAUUAUUAACAUGCAUAUAAAAUAAUCAGUAACCAAACGUGUAUAUAAAGGUAACUAACUACUUUGUUGAUAGUAAACUUCACAUAAUAUUUUCAUUUAUCAAGUAUAUAACUAAAGGUAAAACAACAUACCUGUCCGGAACAAAAAACUAAUUCAUUCAACUUGUCAUUAGAAAGCGGCUUCAUUAACUCCUUCCAUCUGAAUAAACGGACAUCCGACGGAUGCUCGUCAUUGCAUAUACCCCGACUUUUGAAUGUCGGAAUAGUUUCAAACAUAAAAACUUGGA
This 673-nucleotide long non-coding RNA is filed under the name Panax ginseng (ginseng). Its description in RNAcentral is "long non-coding RNA (PGIN_LNC011710)". Lineage: Eukaryota; Viridiplantae; Streptophyta; Magnoliopsida; Apiales; Araliaceae. The record is from RNAcentral.